GGGGCUGUAGCUCAGUAACGGAUAGAGCAGCGGUUUCCUAAACCGCGUGUCGCCGGUUCGAGUCCGGCCAGCCCCG
Molecule: transfer RNA, 76 nt
Filed under: Thermoanaerobaculum aquaticum
Lineage: Bacteria; Pseudomonadati; Acidobacteriota; Thermoanaerobaculia; Thermoanaerobaculales; Thermoanaerobaculaceae
Also listed under: 1 other name
Rfam family: tRNA
About the family: Transfer RNA (tRNA) molecules are approximately 80 nucleotides in length.
Source: Rfam by way of RNAcentral